GGGCGUUUAGCGCAGUGGUAGCGCGUAUGCUUUGCACCAGCAAACCUUACGUAAUCACCUUACGUAAGCAAGCACCCUUGUAUAAGGUCCAGGGUUCAAUCCCCUGAACGUCCA
Non-coding RNA from Lyophyllum atratum, 114 nucleotides. NCBI's taxonomy places the organism in Eukaryota, Fungi, Basidiomycota, Agaricomycetes, Agaricales, Lyophyllaceae. The record is from the annotation of a GenBank genome assembly.